This 969-nucleotide long non-coding RNA is filed under the name Homo sapiens (human). RNAcentral's name for it is "PREDICTED lncRNA (TCONS_00184685)". Lineage: Eukaryota; Metazoa; Chordata; Mammalia; Primates; Hominidae. The record is from RNAcentral.
GGGGUCGGCGCCGCGGAGGCGGGGAGGGAGGGAGGGUUGGAGGGUUGAGCCAGAGACCCGGGACCCCGUCCCCGCACACCUGCCAGUGCCCCGUAGCUUCGGCCGCCGGCACUGGCAGGAGAUGAAAGGCUGCUGCCGCCCGGUCGGAAGGACAUCGGCGCCCCCCAGGCCCGGUCCCCGCCCCAGUUCCUCGGGCCUUUCCUGCUGCCCCUGCCUGCGAGGGCCGACGACACGGAGAACAGGAUCCUGCGCCCAACCCAGGAGCAGUUGGGUGAGGAGCACCAGAAAUUCAAUGCUCCCUGGCGCUGCAUCCCCAGAGCCCUCCCAGCCUAAGAAGCCCCAUCUUUCUGUCUCCACGCAUGGAGAACUGCAGCUGUGAGGCCCAGGACCCUUAGCAGGACAUGCAGAGCUGGGCAGGGACCCAGGCUCAUGCUCCCAGCGUGGGUGGGGAACACAGAGCCCUGCCCAGAGGCUUGAACCUGGCACCACAGGGGUCUGGAAUUACACAGAAGACGGGUGACAGCCAAGGUGGAUCAUGAACGGUGAGAAGUCCAGCAGGUGACAAGGGGAAGGGUCUAAAGGGUGGAGGGCACAGCGCAAGCAAAGUCUUGGCAACAAAAGAGCUAAUGCAUCCCAGAAAUGGGGCAGGUGGAGUACUGGAAGCUACACCAAGCUUCAGAGUGGUCCUGUGGCCUCGGUGUGGUAGCUCAGGCCUAUAAUUCCAACACUUUGGGAGGCUGAGGCAGGAGGAGGAUAACUUGAACCCAGGAGUUCAAGAUCAGCCUGGGCAACAUAGUGAGACCUCCAUUUUUACAAAAAAUACAAAAAUUAACUGUGUGUUGUGGUGUGUGCCUGGAGUCCCAGCUCCUCGGGAGGCUGAGGUGGGGGGAUCACUUGAGUUCUGGAGGUCAAGGCUGCUGUGGGCCAUGAUCUUGCCACUGCACUCCAGCCUGGGUGGCAAAGCAAGAU